GGUAGGGGCUAUGUUUAGACCUUGGCAGUAACUCUGGGUUUGGUUGUAGCUGUCCAUCGUCGGGACGACGAUGCAAAAUCCUGGGGUAGAUUAUAAUGAGGUGGAGCUGGAGGGUGCGAUCUGGUUGGGGCAUGGUAAUUUCAUUAACCUGAUUGCUUAAUUGUUGCAGCCAGCACGCGUAUAUAGGACCCGGUUGUGGUUGCGUGUGUGUGACUGAUUUGUAAGCGUGACGUGACUCUCCGUGCGCCAGUAUCUCCUUUUCCGGAAGUUGUGGCUAUAUCCAACGCUGCAGUGGAUCGCGACUUGGAGUGUCCCGGACCGAUGUGAGCCAGACCAUCAACGGGAUACUAAGUCACUACAAUUGCUGCUGUUUUGCCCGGAUGUUUUAUGUUUUGUUUCAUGUUUUAAUUGGUUUUAAGUAUUAAUGUGUUUUAUUGAUUGAAUGUAAAUUGGGGGGGUGUCGUUGGGAAGGCUUGGUGCUGGGCGGUGAGGAUCCGUGUCGGGCGAUACCGCGCUGCGUGGUCGCGUUGCUUUCUUUUAGCCCACCCCUUGGGUGGAUGUACGUGCGUCAUGUACUGCGGGACCCCUCAGAGUGUUUGACUGUACGCCUCCCAUUCCCCUCCCGAUAACAGCUCCCUGGUUUGGGUUUUCUCUUUUGUCGUGUGAUUGGAGUGUUUUAAACAUGAUUUGAUUUGUAUUUGUGCUGUGAUUUUGGUUUUUUUGUGUUUUUAUUUAGAGUGUGAAUAGCCAACAGCCUAAUAAAGGGAGUGUUUAUGGUC
This is a long non-coding RNA of Brienomyrus brachyistius, 779 nucleotides long. RefSeq lists it as uncharacterized. The record is from RefSeq and is a predicted model, not a curated record. NCBI's taxonomy places the organism in Eukaryota, Metazoa, Chordata, Actinopteri, Osteoglossiformes, Mormyridae. The transcript has 2 exons.